Molecule: ribosomal RNA, 405 nt
Filed under: uncultured bacterium
Lineage: Bacteria
Description: partial 16S ribosomal RNA
Rfam family: Bacterial small subunit ribosomal RNA
Source: RNAcentral
AUUGAACGCUAGCGGGAUGCUUUACACAUGCAAGUCGAACGAGUGGCGGACGGGUGAGUAAUAUAUCGGAACGUGCCCAGUAGCGGGGGAUAACUACUCGAAACAGUGGCUAAUACCGCAUACUAUUGGACCUGCCGCUCUCGGAUUAGCUCGUUGGUGGGGUAAAGGCUCACCAAGGCAACGAUCCGUAGAUGGUCUGAGAGGCCGACCAGCCACACUGGGACUGAGACACGGGCCAGGCUCCUACGGGAGGCAACGGUGGGGAAUGUUGCACAAUGGGGGAAACCCUGAUCCAGCCAUACCGCGUGUAUGAGAAGGCCUUCGGGUUGUAAAGUACUGUGGGCAUAGAAGCGGUAUCUGCAGAAUAAGCCCCGGCUAACUACGUGCGAGCAGCCGCGGUAAUUC